This 221-nucleotide ribosomal RNA is filed under the name uncultured bacterium. RNAcentral's name for it is "partial 16S ribosomal RNA". It matches the Rfam family "Bacterial small subunit ribosomal RNA", at positions 524 to 735 of the family's 1533-position model. The record is from RNAcentral.
GACGUAGGGCGGCGAGCGUUGUCCGGAUUUAUUGGGCGUAAAGAGCUCGUAGGCGGCUUGUCGCGUCGUCCGUGAAAACCCGGGGCUCAACCCCGGACUUGCGGUGGGUACGGGCAGACUAAGAGUGUGGUAGGGGAGACGUGGAAUUCCUGGUGUAGGCGGGUGAAAAUUGCGCAGAUAUCAAGGAGGAACACCGAUGGCGAAGGCAGGGUCUCUGGGCC